UACGUAGGGGGCAAGCGUUGUCCGGAUUUAUUGGGCGUAAAGAGCGUGUAGGCGGCUAGGUAGGUCCGUUGUGAAAACUCGAGGCUCAACCUCGAGACGCCGGUGGAAACCAUCUAGCUAGAGUCCGGAAGAGGAGAGUGGAAUUCCUGGUGUAGCGGUGAAAUGCGCAGAUAUCAGGAAGAACACCCGUGGCGAAGGCGGCUCGCUACACUAUUAUUGACGCUGAGGCACGAAAGCGUGGGGAUCAAACAGG
This 253-nucleotide ribosomal RNA is filed under the name uncultured bacterium. Its description in RNAcentral is "partial 16S ribosomal RNA". It matches the Rfam family "Bacterial small subunit ribosomal RNA", at positions 524 to 776 of the family's 1533-position model. The record is from RNAcentral.